This 1341-nucleotide ribosomal RNA is filed under the name uncultured bacterium. RNAcentral's name for it is "partial 16S ribosomal RNA". It matches the Rfam family "Bacterial small subunit ribosomal RNA", at positions 28 to 1381 of the family's 1533-position model. The record is from RNAcentral.
GACGAACGCUGGCGGCGUGCUUAACACAUGCAAGUCGAACGGUAAGGCUCCAGCUUGCUGGGGUACACGAGUGGCGAACGGGUGAGUAACACGUGGGUGACCUGCCCUGCACUUCGGGAUAAGCCUGGGAAACUGGGUCUAAUACCGGAUAGGACUGCACCGUGAGGGUGUGGUGGAAAGUUUUUUCGGUGUGGGAUGGGCCCGCGGCCUAUCAGCUUGUUGGUGGGGUAAUGGCCUACCAAGGCGGCGACGGGUAGCCGGCCUGAGAGGGUGGACGGCCACAUUGGGACUGAGACACGGCCCAGACUCCUACGGGAGGCAGCAGUGGGGAAUAUUGCACAAUGGGCGGAAGCCUGAUGCAGCGACGCCGCGUGGGGGAUGACGGCCUUCGGGUUGUAAACUCCUUUCACCAUCGACGAAGGGUUUCUGACGGUAGAUGGAGAAGAAGCACCGGCUAACUACGUGCCAGCAGCCGCGGUAAUACGUAGGGUGCGAGCGUUGUCCGGAAUUACUGGGCGUAAAGAGCUCGUAGGUGGUUUGUCGCGUCGUCUGUGAAAUUCCGGGGCUUAACUCCGGGCGUGCAGGCGAUACGGGCAUAACUUGAGUACUGUAGGGGAGACUGGAAUUCCUGGUGUAGCGGUGAAAUGCGCAGAUAUCAGGAGGAACACCGGUGGCGAAGGCGGGUCUCUGGGCAGUAACUGACGCUGAGGAGCGAAAGCAUGGGGAGCGAACAGGAUUAGAUACCCUGGUAGUCCAUGCCGUAAACGGUGGGCGCUAGGUGUGGGUUUCCUUCCACGGGAUCCGUGCCGUAGCUAACGCAUUAAGCGCCCCGCCUGGGGAGUACGGCCGCAAGGCUAAAACUCAAAGGAAUUGACGGGGGCCCGCACAAGCGGCGGAGCAUGUGGAUUAAUUCGAUGCAACGCGAAGAACCUUACCUGGGCUUGACAUAUACAGGAUCGCGCCAGAGAUGGUGUUUCCCUUGUGGCUUGUAUACAGGUGGUGCAUGGUUGUCGUCAGCUCGUGUCGUGAGAUGUUGGGUUAAGUCCCGCAACGAGCGCAACCCUUGUCUUAUGUUGCCAGCACGUUGUGGUGGGGACUCGUAAGAAACUGCCGGGGCUAACUCGGAGGAAGGUGGGGAUGACGUCAAAUCAUCAUGCCCCUUAUGUCCAGGGCUUCACACAUGCUACAAUGGUCGGUACAGUGGGUUGCCAGUCCGUGAGGGCGAGCUAAUCCCGCAAAGCCGGUCUCAGUUCGGAUCGGGGUCUGCAACUCGACCCCGUGAAGUCGGAGUCGCUAGUAAUCGCAGAUCAGCAACGCUGCGGUGAAUACGUUCCCGGGCCU